CCCUGCCUGCCUGCAGACCCCAAAAGAGGCUGAGAUUGUGCGGGGCCCCAGGCGCUGCAUGGUUUUGCUCUUGCACCUGAAGGAUGUAUACAAAGUAUGUAUACAAAGUGUGUAUACACAGUAUACCAAGUAUGUAUACACGAGGCUUGCGGCGGUGGUGGUGCAUGGCUCAGCAUGAGGUGCAUGCUCCUUCAGUCCAACAGUACCGGGGAGGUCUAUCAGCAGACUCUGGAGGACACCGACAUGUGGCUGUAGGUCUGGACCUGCUGACUCGGCCCGUAUCGCAACCAGUUAGUAGUACUUGGCUAAUAUUACCUCAGAAAAUGUUCGCGAAGGUCAAAGAAGUCAAUUAAAAAGGUAAAUAGAGGGUAAAACAAGCUGAAUGUGGAGGUAAAAUAAGGUAAAGGUAGUAAUUAAAAUGUAAGAGACUGUAAAUAAAGACAAUAUGCUUAAUAAAUGGUAAAUAGAAGGUAAAUCAAGCUGAAUAUGGAUGUAAAAGAAGGUAAAUGGAAGGUAAAUGUAGUAUAUAAAAUGUAAGAGAGGGUAAAUAAAGAUAAAAAAUUGAUAAUAAAAGGUAAAUAAAAGGUAAAACAAGCUGAAUAUGGAUGUAAAAGAAGGUAAAUAGAAGGUAAAAGUAUUAAAUAAAAUGUAAGAGACCGUAAAUACAGAUAAAAGAUGGUUAAUAAAAGGUAAAUAGAAGGUAAAACAAGCUGAAUAAGGAGGUAAAAGACGGUAAAGGUAGUAAAUAAAAUGUAUGACACGGUAGAUAAAGAUAAAAGAUGGUUAAUAAAAGGUAAAUAGAAGGUAAAACAAGGUGAAUAUGGAUGUUAAAGAAGGUAAAUGGAAGGUAAAAGUAGUAAAUAAAAUGUAAGAGACUGUAAAAGAUAAAAGAUGGUUAGUAGAAUGUAAAUAAAAGGUAAAUAAAAGUUAAAACAAGCUGAAUAAGGAGGUAAAAGAAGGUAAAUAGAAAGUAAAAGUAGUAAAUAAAAUGUAAGAGACGGUAAAUAAAGAUAAAAGAUGGUUAGUAGAAUGUAAAUAAAAGGUAAAUAGAAGGUAAAACAAGCUGAAUAAGGAGGUAAAAUAAGGUAAAAGUAGUAAAUAAAAUGUAUGAGAUGGUAAAUAAAGAUAAAAGAUGGUUAAUAAAAGGUAAAUAAAAGGUAAAACAAGCUGAAUAUUGAUGUAAAAGAAGGUAAAGGUAGUAACUAAAAUGCAUGAGACGGUAAAUAAAGAUAAAAGAUGGUUAAUAAAAGGUAAAUAGAAUGUAAAACAAGGUGAAAAUGGAAGUAAAAGAAGGUAAAUGGAAGGUAAAGGUAGUAAAUAAAAUGUAGGAGACGGUAAAUAAAGAUAAAAUAUGAUUUAUAAAAGGUAAAUAGAAGGUAAAACAAGCAGAUUAUGGAGGUAAAAGAAGGUAAAUAAAAGGUAAAUGUAGUAAAUAAAAUGUAAGAGACGGUAAAUAAAGAUAAAAUAUGGUU
Long non-coding RNA from Nerophis ophidion (straightnose pipefish), 1472 nucleotides. RefSeq lists it as uncharacterized. The record is from RefSeq and is a predicted model, not a curated record. Lineage: Eukaryota; Metazoa; Chordata; Actinopteri; Syngnathiformes; Syngnathidae. The transcript has 2 exons.